RNAcentral lists this long non-coding RNA (4782 nucleotides) under Sus scrofa (pig). RNAcentral describes it as "lncRNA (ENSSSCG00000058040.1)". The record is from RNAcentral. Lineage: Eukaryota; Metazoa; Chordata; Mammalia; Artiodactyla; Suidae.
GCAGCAUACGAAAGUUCCCAGGCUAGGGAUCGAAUCAGAGCUGCAGCUGCCAGUCUAUGUCACAGCCACAGCAAUGCCAGAUCCAAGCCACAUCUGCGACCUACACCACAGCUCACGGCAAUGUCAGAUCUUUAACCCACUGAGUGAGGCCAGGGAUCGAACCUGCCAGGUCCGUAACACAGCUGUGCUGGGUUAGGGGGACCCUGGGAGGGGAACCACUGCCUGCAAGACAAACGGGGGGUGGGGAGCACACUCCCCGCCCCCCGCAUCUACUCAACAGCUCUGCCUGUUCUCCAUCAGCCGGCGCAGAGGCACGGCAGCCAAGGCAUGAGUUCUAGAGCCUAGAUCCCGGCUCCGCCAGCUCCCAGCCAUGAGACUUGAGGCAGAAGUGGCGACAGCUCCCUGGGCCUCCCUUUUCCCAUCUGCAAAGUGGGAACAAUCAGAGAACCGGGAAGCAGAGAGGACUCAAAACACCCACGCCGGGUGCCGAGACCACAUGGGCACCAGGCCAGCCCUUGAGGAUGGCGGCCUGCGCUGUCCUGGGGCUCCCCGACCUGUGACCUUGAGCUGGCCAUGGGCUGUGACCUUGAGCUGGCCGCGGGCUGCGUCCCUGUGCUAAUCCCUGUAACCUGCCCCUGGGAGCUGAUUCAGAGCCUGGGUCUCCGCAGCUGUGACGAAGUUGUAUGUACACUAAGAACCAGAGGAGUCACCCGCCACACCACACCGUGCCCACAGGGGAGAGGCCAGGUGACAUCAGCAGUUCCUUCACUGUGGCCACGGGAGAAAAAUACAUUUGAGUCAGAGAUCCUGACUGAAAGCGACACCCAGAUGCCUUCCAGGGAACGUGGUACUGGCUCCAGCCUGAAGAAUCCACGCAACGACCUCAUUUGUUCGGUUCGUCCAUAACCCCACUGGGGUGACAGUGGCCCAUUUUACAGGUGGGGAAACGGAGGCCCCAAGGUCUCUGGCUCAGGUCACACAGCUUCUGCAACGCACACCUGGGGACUCCUGAGUCCCUGUUGCAGCACAUUUCUGGGUGUCACCGUAGGAGGCAGAGGAAGAAGCUUUAAUGCCAGACCCAAGCAUGCUGCCUACAGCCCAGGCGGGUCCCCAGAGGGCAGUGCUAAGUGGCAGCUUUGCAGGACUAGAAAAGCUCAGACACAAAGGUGGUGUGAAACACUCCGCCGCAACGGCCACCCUGAACCCCCAAGCCACCCAGGUGACAGCCGGCGGGUUAGGGAUGUUUUUCAGCCAGGCUGUCCUGGUCCUGAGUCUCCUGGUGACAGCUCCCUUUGCUGGGCCUCGGGGGCUCCCUUUGCUCACACGCACUCCAGGGAACCCGGCCUGGAGUUACAGGUUCUGAAUCUUUCAGACACUCUGUUGCUGCUGUUCGCCUCUGACUGCAAGGUCCCCUCUCUCCUUCGAAGAGUCGUUUUCUCCCCAAUUCCAUCGCUGCCCUCAACCUACAGAAAUCACCCAGCCCUCCAUCAGCUAUGGGGCAGACACCCCCCAGGGCCCGGCCUUGCCACCCCGGCUGCCUCCCCGGGGCCCGUCAGUUGUCUCUCGGGCAUAGGAACGGUCCCCCCUUUGGCAGCGUCUCACAGUAUUUAUUGUUCUGCUCUGGGUGCAGUCUGGUCCUGGCGGCACCCCGGCGUCAGCGACGCAAACACCAUCACUCAUGCGGCAUAAACCUGUUGUGGCAAUUCCCCGCCUGGGCCCGCGAGAGGCGCCCAUCACUCUUCCCCGACGGCGCUCCAAGGCGCGGGGUGGCGGGAGAUGGAUGGUUCUGGGAAUUACCGCCGGCUGCAAAGUGGGGACCUUUCACCUCUGGGGAGAGGGGUCAAGUCACAGCCAUCGCGGGCCCGGGCCCCAGGGAAAUGAAGCAGGAGACCCCUGCUCGGGGCACGGCCCUGACGCCCCCACUACAAGCAUCUGGUCGUACUGCACGCAGGGGGAGCCCAGUCUGGCCUCCAGAACGAUCGAUUCACUGGGGCCGCCUGACAGAGCUCCAGGCAGGUGCUGUCUGUGGCUUUUGACAAAUGAGGAAUCGGAGACUGGGGGACACAAGACGAAUUGCCCCUGGUCUCCAGAUUUUCCUGUGUCCUUUCCGAGGGGCAAGCUGCCCCCUCAGAUCACAAACUCAGCUUCCCCCUCCCCCAGCCUCCCGGAGGCUAGGAUUAGGUCUUAAGAAGUUCCCGUUGUAGGAGUUCCCGCUGUGGCUCAGAGGCAAAGAAGCCGAUUAGUAUCCAUGAGGAUGCAGCUUCGAUCUCUGGCCUCGCUCAGUGGGUUAAGGAGCCGGUGUUGCCAUGAGCUGCGGUGUAGGUUCAGAUCCGGCGGUGCUGUGGCUGUGGUGUAGGCUGGCAGCUCUGAUUCGAUGCCUAGCCUGGGAACCUCACAUGCCAUGGCCCUAAAAAGGGAAAAAAAAUCAAUUUAAGACCCUUUACACCAGUGCAAAGAUUUCAGUGCGCGUUCUCCUUGGAAUCUGGAAACGCCGGGUCUUUGGUCAGCUGUCGGAGAGGAAAGGGUUCAGAAGCCCUGAGGGUCUGAGCGGCCUGCCGGGGUCCUGUGGCCUGGCCUAGGACCGGGGCCUGGACUUCAGCUCGAGCGCUCUCUCCUCAUCCGACGGAACCCCCCUGCCUCAGGAUACGUGGGAGAGGAGCUGACCAUGGCUUACGGGGGUGGGGUCAUCACUGUCCUGGACCUUCCCCUCCCAGGACGGUGCCAGCAGGACCACAGACCACCAGCAGCGCGGCCACGUCCUGAAUAACGCAGCGCCAGCAAGAGGGCAGCGUGCCCACCGCCAGGAGGAGGGCUGCUGGCCUGACCUAGAAACUUCUGAGCCAGGCUGAGCCAGGCCAGGCCAGGCCAAGGCUGUCCCCCUCACCCGGAGGUCACCUCCCUACCGUCCAGCCCUGUGUUGAGGCAGCACAGGCAGCACCCCCUGGACCGGGGGUGGAGCGAGGCUGUCACCUCCUCGCCACGAGCGGGGCGACGCCUGAGGCGGGUCGCCCACCUGGGCUCCAGCUCCUCGGCCUCAGAUGAGCGGGCCUUGCUGGAGAGACCUAAGCUCCUCCUCGCGGUCCGAGUGGGGUAAGGAGAGCCCUUCCCACAUUUAGGUCCACCCGGAACCUCAGAGUGGGAGCGUCUCUGGAAAGGGGGUCUUUCCGACGUAAGGAGCUCAGAUGAGCUCAUCCCGGAUUAGGGAGGCCAAACAUCGAAGCCGCCUGGUGUUCCGAAGAUGACGGUCACGUGACACCCGCAGAGACAGGAGUGACGUGGGCCCGAAGCACUACAGAUGGCUUGGAGCCCCCAGAAGCUGGGAGAGGCAGGAAGGACCCGCUCCUGGAGCCUCUGGAGGGAACAGGGCCCUGCCUCCGCCCUGAUUUUGAACUUCUGGCCUCCAGAACAGAGACAGAACUAACUUCUGUGAUUUGAAGACAGCUGGUUUGGGGUAGUGUGCAACAGCAGCCCUAGGAAACUCAAAGGGUCUGAAACCUCGAAUCAAGUUUACUGGGACUAUGCUGAGGGCAGGACCUGCCCCCGGGCCUUUGCACCUGCCGCCUGGUCUCAAAGGAGCCCUCCACAAGCACAGGGCCUGCCUGCUUCCUCCCUUCAGGCCUCUGCUCAAAGUCACAGCCACGCAGGCCUGUCUGCCCGCCCCACGGACAUUCGCCCUGGCCUCUCUUCUCCGCCCUGGCCAUAUACACCACCUAAUGUCGUGUGUCUGCUGUCCCUCCCCUGUCUUCCAACACACAUGCAGAACCCAAGCCCCCCGCCCCCCGCACAGGGGUCUACCUGGGUCCUGGCUGGGCUCCCAGCUCCAGGCACAGAGCCUGGCACAUGGCAGGUGCUCCACAAAUACGUGUAGAAUGCACCUGUACGAUCUGGGCCCAGCGCCGGGGCGGGCAACCUUUGGAAGGGCUAGGAAAGGCGCUGAGAGGUCCUACGUCACCAGUGCCCUGGGACAGACUCCUCCGAGAAGAUGCCCCGGUGAGUGGGAGGCAGCCUGGCGUGGCAGUUACGGGCUUGCGAUCCGGAAACUAGCUGGGCUCAAACUGCCGAUCUGCCACGUCUAAGCUGUGCAGCCUCAGGCACGUUCCAGAACCUCUCUGGGCCUGAGGGACAGAAAAGUACCUGCCUUGUGCAUUUGUUGUGUCUAUCAAAUGAACUAAAGGGGAUGGGGCCUGAGAGCGGGGGUGGCGUUUCCCAAGCACCAGCUCAGCAGGAAUCGCUGCUGCUACUGUGAGGACUCUUGGGAAAGACCAGGAGGGGACACAGGGGUGGCUCCAUCUGAGGGGCACCCCCUAGGCUCGUGGGAGGCGGGGCCCCCGGGGGUACCAAGAGACUGCGGCACAGGCCCGUCGGGGCAGCAGCAAACUUGUGAGAGCCAGACUCGGUUUGUCUAUGGAUCGUACAUGAAGAUCCCAGCAUCCCCAGCUGAAAAACGAGCCCAGGGAGCAGGAGCAAAGCGCCCUGGGGCUCUGGCCAAGCCCGUCCGGCACCUGCAGCCUCCAAGGGCUGGGAGUGGCUGCCCGUGGCCAGCUCUCUGGGCCUGGCUGCUUCCCAGGGUGGCACCUGGCAAUCAGAACGAUGCCCCAGCCCCCGAGGCACCCUGAGCAGACCUGAGACCCAAGACCGAGUGGGGACCAGGACGGGGAUAAAAGGCACCGCCUGUACACACGGGCCUCAGGCGCAGCUGCCACCAAGCAGUUGAGACACAGCCGUGGACUGAGCAGGGACAGUCUGGGCUGCAUGCAGCCAGGCCCAACGUGUCCCUCCACC